UACGGAGGGUGCGAGCGUUGUCCGGAAUCAUUGGGCGUAAAGGGCGCGUAGGUGGCCCGGUCAGUCUUUGGUGAAAGCGCGGGGCUCAACCCUGCGUCGGCCAGGGAUACUGCCGCGGCUGGAGCACUGUAGAGGCAGGCGGAAUUCCGGGUGUAGCGGUGGAAUGCGUAGAGAUCCGGAGGAAGACCGGUGGCGAAGGCGGCCUGCUGGGCAGUUACUGACACUGAGGCGCGACAGCGUGGGGAGCAAACAGG
This 254-nucleotide ribosomal RNA is filed under the name uncultured bacterium. RNAcentral's name for it is "partial 16S ribosomal RNA". It matches the Rfam family "Bacterial small subunit ribosomal RNA", at positions 524 to 776 of the family's 1533-position model. The record is from RNAcentral.